RNAcentral lists this long non-coding RNA (379 nucleotides) under Coffea arabica (coffee). RNAcentral describes it as "long non-coding RNA (CARA_LNC007736)". Lineage: Eukaryota; Viridiplantae; Streptophyta; Magnoliopsida; Gentianales; Rubiaceae. The record is from RNAcentral.
UGGUGAUUAGAACCAGAAAUUUGAGGAAAUUACACUUAGAGCUAAAAAUUCCAGAUUUCUGGAAAAUUUCCCAAGCAUUCUGUCCGAAAUUGUACCUAUAUGUUAGAGGCCGAAUUGGCCUUUGGUCAAAGAAGGAAAGUUGUAUAGAAUGGUGUUUUAUAAGUGCCUGUAAAAUUUCAGCUCAAUCGGAGCAACGUAGGACGUGAAAAGUCCAAAAUACCCCUACUGUUUUAAGAAUUUCCCAGCAGUCCGUUUCUUCAGUUCAGUCCAGUUUAUCACGAUUUUUGACCAGGAUCCAUUCUGAUUUAGCUCUGGGCCAAAACAUAAAAGUUGUAGUGUUCUGAAGUAGAUUUAAAAUGCCUCAAAGAAAACCUGAUUC